CAGCGCCACGAGUGGGAACCACAUUUAUUGGGUCUAAAGCGUUCGUAGCCGGUUUAGUAAAUCUUUUGUGAAAUUGUCGGGCUUAACCUGACAGCGUGCAGAAGACACUGCUAAACUUGAGACCGGGAGGGGUUAGAAGUAUUUCAGGGGGAGCGGUAAAAUGUUAUAAUCCCUGAAAGACUACCAAUGGCGAAGGCAUCUAACCAGAACGGAUCUGACGGUGAGGAACGAAGGCCAGGGGAGCGAACCGGAUUAGAUACCCGAGUAGUCC
Molecule: ribosomal RNA, 271 nt
Filed under: uncultured archaeon
Lineage: Archaea
Description: partial 16S ribosomal RNA
Rfam family: Archaeal small subunit ribosomal RNA
Source: RNAcentral